GACGAACGCUGGCGGCGUGCUUAACACAUGCAAGUCGAACGGAAAGGCCCUGCUUUUGUGGGGUGCUCGAGUGGCGAACGGGUGAGUAACACGUGAGUAACCUGCCCUUGACUUUGGGAUAACUUCAGGAAACUGGGGCUAAUACCGGAUAGGAGCUCCUGCUGCAUGGUGGGGGUUGGAAGGUUUCGGCGGUUGGGGAUGGACUCGCGGCCUAUCAGCUUGUUGGUUGGGUAGUGGCUUACCAAGGCUUUGACGGGUAGCCGGCCUGAGAGGGUGACCGGCCACACUAGGAUUGAGCUACGGCACAGCCUCCUACGGGAGGCAGCAGUGGGGAAUAUUGCACAAUGGGCGGAAGGCUGACGCAGCAACGCCGCGUGCGGGAUGACGGGAAUGGGGUUGUAAUCCGCUGUCGCCUGUCACGAGACGUGAGUGACGGUAAUGGGUGAAGAAGCACCGGCUAACUACGUG
This 468-nucleotide ribosomal RNA is filed under the name uncultured bacterium. RNAcentral's name for it is "partial 16S ribosomal RNA". It matches the Rfam family "Bacterial small subunit ribosomal RNA", at positions 28 to 507 of the family's 1533-position model. The record is from RNAcentral.